UUAAGUUUUCUGCACCGAAACAAGCUCCAUUUCCCCGCAAUUGAAUUGGAUCUUUCAAAUUGAAUUAAACUCAUUUCUUUUGGCUCAGUCCUCUUCACAUUACAUUUUAUCUGCGCUGAAACAAUUUUAAUUUGCAUACAGCACUUGCCAAAAACCAAACGCGAAGAAAAAGAAUUAGAAAACCAGAGACCAACGGUCGCAGAAAAUGUUGCAGAAAACUAGAAAAUUUUGUCAGUUUGUUGUUUUUCCUUCUUGACGCUGUUGCGGUUGCUGUACCCCAUGGAUGGGAUGGAUCUGAUAUUUUCACGCUUAAUCACUAACUGUCCCUCUCGCCUGCCGCCCGUGAAUAAGUAACGCACUGUUUACGCCAUCUGGUGGGCAUUUGGUGAAGCUGUAGCCGAUCGUGAGAAUGUCUCCAUCUUUCGGGCUGAGUAUUACAGAACGACCUCUGGCGGCGAACUGGCACAUCACUUGUUGGCAACAUGUUGCUGGCUUCACUCAACAUUUUGAAUUCUCCCGAUUCUUUAUUUAUUACUCUUUUUCUUUCUUCGCAAACAGAUGUUUCCCCUUUAUUUUGGGAAAUUUCACGACUUAUGACAGCAGAAUUGCACUUUACUGGAUGAAAUGAAACUUAAUUGGCACCGCUUUACUCACGUCCGAUGAUCGAUUGCGUUUCGAUUGUCCACGAAUGGAAACGAUAAUACGAUGUGACACGGACACUGGCGAGACGAGCCGAUUGAUUCGGAUUGAGGAUUGGAAAUGAAAAUAUUGUACAAGAAUCUAUAUGUGCGAGGAGGUAUAGACGUGUGUAUAUUUCCUACACUUCACUUUACUGGCGCAGAAAAUCGCAUAUACACCGAGAAUGUAUAAUUAUAAAUAAAUGUUCUAUAAAAAACGC
This 898-nucleotide unclassified non-coding RNA is filed under the name Drosophila yakuba. RNAcentral's name for it is "GE27677". Lineage: Eukaryota; Metazoa; Arthropoda; Insecta; Diptera; Drosophilidae. The record is from RNAcentral.